AAGACUAUACUUUCAGGGAUCAUUUUUAUAGUUGGUUGCUAGAGAAGGGUCUCUGAAUGUGUAGGGCACCGAAAGCCACGAGGAGGAGGUGCAACAUUCUCUCCUGAGUGUGAAGCUGGCUGUAGGUGUUGCUUUCUUGCAACUGCCUUUUGCCAUUGAUGAUUGUUCUUCUCCCCCGUUUCGGGGGACGGAGAGGGAGAGGACGCAGUCCGAAUGGU
RNAcentral lists this small nucleolar RNA (218 nucleotides) under Dasypus novemcinctus (nine-banded armadillo). RNAcentral describes it as "Small nucleolar RNA U3 (ENSDNOG00000046996.1)". It matches the Rfam family "Small nucleolar RNA U3". Rfam says of the family: Small nucleolar RNAs (snoRNAs) are involved in the processing and modification of rRNA in the nucleolus. There are two main classes of snoRNAs: the box C/D class, and the box H/ACA class. The record is from RNAcentral. Lineage: Eukaryota; Metazoa; Chordata; Mammalia; Cingulata; Dasypodidae.